Molecule: ribosomal RNA, 491 nt
Filed under: Striatobalanus amaryllis
Lineage: Eukaryota; Metazoa; Arthropoda; Thecostraca; Balanomorpha; Balanidae
Description: partial 12S small subunit ribosomal RNA
Source: RNAcentral
AAAUUAUGGAUUUAGAGUAGAAUUGAAGUUUUUUAUAAUUAUUAGGUAGAAUUUUAAUUAUAAAUAGUAACAUGUUUUAUUUUCAUAGAAAUUAUAGUAGGGACCAGGAUUAGAUACCCUGUUACUUAUAUUUAAUAAAUUUUGGAUUAGUAGUAUUAAUGAAAUUUAACGGAUUUGGCGGCAAGAUAGCCAUUUAGAGGAACCUGCCCUAUAAACGAUGAACCACGAAUUUCUUUACUUCUAUUAGUAAAUCAGUUUGUAUACCGCUGUUGUCAGUUAGUUUCUUUAGAAAGCUUUCGUUAUUGAAAAAUUCAAGGACUUCAAGUAAAGGUGCAGCUUAUGUAGAAGGUAGAGGUGGGUUACAUUUAUAAGAUUAAUACGGAUAAAAUUAAUUAAAAGGUUUUUGAAGGUGGAUUUAAAUGUAAGAUUUAAGAAGAUCUGAUGAAGGCUCUUUCUUGUGUACACACCGCCCGUCGCUCUCUUUAUUAAAC